Long non-coding RNA from Lontra canadensis (Northern American river otter), 1925 nucleotides. RefSeq lists it as uncharacterized. The transcript has 3 exons. Lineage: Eukaryota; Metazoa; Chordata; Mammalia; Carnivora; Mustelidae. The record is from RefSeq and is a predicted model, not a curated record.
ACUCUCCCGCAUCUGGGAGGUCACUGGGUGUGACACCAUCCUCGGGAAGUCAUGACCCCAUGGCUUCUGUCUUAGGAGGUUAACACAAAUUCUGCAGGUUCUGUAGCAGAGAAAAUGAAAAAGAGUGGAAUAGUGGUCUGAAGAUUUCAGAGGGAAAAUUGAGAAGGAAAGAACAGCCCAGAAAGGAAUCAACUAGAAUUUCCCAAGGCUGGAGUUCAUGCAAUAAACAUCACACCUCUGUUUUCGGAAUAUUAGUGGCCAGGCUCAUCUCAAGAAACUGGGGUUCUCUCUGCCCUCGGAGAACAAUGAUUUCUGGUUCCUUAAGAAGUAUGGAGUAUUGAUAACCUGUCUUUGUAAAAAUCCAUUUAAAAAAUUUACCUCUGCGGUAGCAAGCACCUUCUAUGUUCAAGACUUUUUUUCUUUUUAAACUUUAGAGCAAUCCGAAUCAUACAAAAGAAUAUGACACAUAACCAUGAAGCUGAAAGGAGAGAAGUCUGGUUUUGAGUAAGUAAGCAGCAGGUGGCCAUGGGCUCAGGUGUGAGCAAAGAUUCCAGCAAGUGGGCCUACCGUGUCUCAUGAGUGAGCAAAGAUCUGCAGUGAGAGAAGCCGCACGCCUUUUCAUCUGCUUGGUCCUUCCUGCCUUUUACUAGGUUGUAGCUCAAGAUAAAACGUGGAGCUAAAAAGUAGAGCCAGUGUACCCGAGUGGACUCCCGACCCCCCAACUCCGGAAGAAAACACUGUUGGAAAGGACAGGAAGUGAACCUCCUGCCUUGUGCCACAACUUCCAUCUCUACCCAAGCUUUGGCUUUCCUGAAGUUCUUCCCACUUACAGAAGCCACUGGUGGAAGGGACACCUCUUCCUCCUGGUGAGCUGGUGAGCUGGUGAGGGACCUGCAAACCCCUGGAGGCUGGCUCCAAGGGCUCUGUCUGCAAUCCUCACUUGCAGGAAUACUCAUUCCCUCCCCAGUGGAUCCCACCGAGUUCUGAGCCACUUUCCUGUCACUCCUCCUGCAGUAAAUACCACCCGAUAAUUGUGGAAGGAAGAAUUGCAAUGCUCAGUGCCAUCAAGCUCAGAUGCACUGCGGAGCUGAGGUGUGUGACCCUUGCACCUGGAAGAGGCUGGUAAUUUCUGAAACCAUGAACGUAGUUAGCACUUCUUGGAUCUCUUAGUUGUUUUAUAUAGUGAACUGAACUUUUUCAGGAGGCCUGGGUAGCUCAGUUGGUAGAGCAUCAGACUUUUAAUCUGAGGGUCCAGGGUUCAAGUCCCUGUUCAGGCGGUCCUGGGUACUUUUACUUCAGUUAAGUCUAUGUAAGUAGAGCUCAUUUAGAACAUCUCUAGAGUGGGACAUUGGUAACAGCCAGACCAAAGGCAUAUCCUUGAAGAGGUUUAUGUUCUAGUGUUUCAUUAAUUACCUCUACCCAAUAAUAACUGAAACUUGGGCCUGAGUUGCCAAGAGGAAUUGGAAAAGUGCAUAAUGUAAAAAUAAGACACAAGUGUUGGAAUUACCAAGGCGGCCAUUUUAAAGUUCCCUGACCUGAUUCAUUACUCUUGGAGUGGCAGGGGAGCAAUUUGGGGGAAACUGACAAGAAUUUCAGAAAGCAGUGACUCUGCCCAGUCUGUUCCCACAGUUUGGAUUGACUCUUCCUAUAUAGAAAAUGUGUAGCAUCUUAAAAGCCCCUGCUUGUAAAAGCCAUAAUAUGCAAACACAUUUUGAAAUGGUCUUAGCUGUCUUUUUUGUCUUUACAUUAACAAGUUUCUGUUGUUAUCCAGGGAUUUGGAUUAUGGUUAAAGACCCCGAUCCUGGGCUCCUAGUGCAUGGUUUCUGUGGGCAGAAUGUUAAACCAGGAGGCUGUGAAUUCAGUUUUUGUAAUUCUUUAUGCUUUUAGCCUGAUGAUAUGAAGUAUAAAUACUGCACUUAAGUUCA